AGAGCAGUGCAUCUCAGUGCAUCUUUAUUGAGGGUCUAUUUUUCCGUGUUUCUGCAUGUCCUGACCAUUACCACAGCCAUAACAUGAAUCUGACAGCACUGACUCUUCUUUUCUCUCUUUGGAAAACUGGUGAUGAAACAAGAUUUCUGAAGUAAGUGGCUGUCAAUCAAUACCCAAUAUGCACACAGGUGCUGAUUUCACACUCUUCUAGACAAAAAUCAGCAAUAAGUGGAAAGAUAUAUACACAUGAAAUCUGGAAAGCCACUGGAUGUGUCAAAAUGAGCCUCAAAUGAAGAUUCACCUUGAUCUCAUUAUGACAUUAGACUGCUGCCAAGUGGACAGCUGAUCUCAGAGCAGAUCUGACUACAGAAGACAAGCACCAAAAGAGAGGAUUCCUUAGCCAUCAACAGGAGAACCCUGUCCAACUCAUCUCCCAAUCCAAAAGACUGCAGGAAAGUAUCUGCCUUUUAAAUCUGAACAAGAGACUGAAAACAUAAAGUAAGUAUCCUCAAAAUGAGAGAGCAAAAAAUAUGUUGGAAUGAAAAAUUCAAAGCCUGACGAUAUUGAAGCAAAUAUUUACACUUGU
Molecule: long non-coding RNA, 586 nt
Organism: Centrocercus urophasianus (Greater sage-grouse)
Lineage: Eukaryota; Metazoa; Chordata; Aves; Galliformes; Phasianidae
Exons: 3
Source: RefSeq, a predicted model, not a curated record